RNAcentral lists this ribosomal RNA (751 nucleotides) under uncultured Glomus. Its description in RNAcentral is "eukaryotic LSU rRNA". It matches the Rfam family "Eukaryotic large subunit ribosomal RNA", at positions 38 to 633 of the family's 3401-position model. The record is from RNAcentral. Lineage: Eukaryota; Fungi; Glomeromycota; Glomeromycetes; Glomerales; Glomeraceae.
CGAUAUCAAUAAGCGGAGGAAAAGAAAAUAACAAUGAUUCCCCUAGUAACUGCGAGUGAAGAGGGACAAGCUCAAAUUUUAAAUCUGUUCGGUUCUACCUGACAGAGUUGUAAUUUAAAGAAACGUUUUCUGUGUCUUGAGUUAAUCAAAAUCCUAUGGAAUGAGGUAUCAUGGAGGGUGACAAUCCCGUUCAUGGUUAAUUCUAAGAUGCUUUAUGAUGCGUUUUCGAAGAGUCGAGUUGUUUGGGAUUGCAGCUCAAAAUGGGAGGUAAAUUUCUCCUAAGGCUAAAUAUUGGCGAGAGACCGAUAGCGAACAAGUACCGUGAGGGAAAGAUGAAAAGAACUUUGAAAAGAGAGUUAAACAGUACGUGAAAUUGUUGAAAGGGAAACGAUUGAAGUCAGUCGUACCAGCGGGAAAUCAACCUUUCGAGUGGGGUUUUGGAGUUUUGAAGUGUGUCAAAACCUUGAAGAUUUCAAAAUGUUCGCUCUUUUGGUGUACUUUCUCGCAGGUAGGUUAACAUCGAUUUUGAUUCAUCAUAAAAGGAUUGGAGGAAUGUAGCUUCGAUCUCGUAUUGAAGUGUUAUAGCCUUUGGUAAAUGUGAUGAUUAGGAUCGAGGAUUGCAACGAAUACCCUUUUGGGCUAUCCGCCUGAUCUCUGAUACGUGACCUUGGUAUUGAAAGCGUGCUUAUGAUAUUAAGGUAUUACGGUCAAAAGGUUAGAACGGAUUACAUUCGUUAAGGAUGUUGACGUA